Molecule: non-coding RNA, 105 nt
Organism: Triticum aestivum (bread wheat)
Lineage: Eukaryota; Viridiplantae; Streptophyta; Magnoliopsida; Poales; Poaceae
Source: Rfam
AUUAUACUCCCUCCGUCCCAAAAUAAGUGUCUCAAUUUUAAUACAACUUUGUAUUAAAGUUAGUACAAGUUUGAGGCACUUAUUUUGGGACGGAGGGAGUACCAU